UCCGAGAAGCGGUCGUUCGCUGGUCAUUCGAUUGGAUGGCUAGAGGAAAGUCCGGACAUCGCAGGGCAGGAUUCCCUGUGAAAACGGGGGGGGCUUGUAAUUAUGCAGGUUCACGGCAAGUGCAACAGAAAGAAAACCGCCUUUUUUUGAAGGCAAGGGUGAAAUGGUGGGGUAAGAGCCCACCGCCACAAGGGCAACCUCGUGGGCAAGGUAAACCCAAUCCGAUGCAAGGCGAAAUAGGAAACCGGGUUGCCCGCCCUAUGGUUUCGGGUACGCCGCAUCCUCCAUUUGGAGGAAUUCUUGCAUAGCAGGAAUAGAUAAAUGAAUGACAACUCAACUUCAAAUGCGAGUUACAGAAUCCGGCUUACAGCUUCUCGGAAUCC
This 383-nucleotide RNase P RNA is filed under the name Verrucomicrobia bacterium TMED40. RNAcentral describes it as "RNase P RNA component class A". It matches the Rfam family "Bacterial RNase P class A". Rfam says of the family: Ribonuclease P (RNase P) is a ubiquitous endoribonuclease, found in archaea, bacteria and eukarya as well as chloroplasts and mitochondria. Its best characterised activity is the generation of mature 5'-ends of tRNAs by cleaving the 5'-leader elements of precursor-tRNAs. The record is from RNAcentral. Lineage: Bacteria; Pseudomonadati; Verrucomicrobiota.